GAUGAACGCUGGCGGCGUGCUUAACACAUGCAAGUCGAACGGAAAGGCCCAAGCUUUCUUGGGUACUCGAGUGGCGAACGGGUGAGUAACACGUGGGUGAUCUGCCCUUCACUUCGGGAUAAGCCUGGGAAACUGGGGCUAAUACCGGAUAGGAUCUCUUCUUGGAUGUUGUUGUGGAAAGUUUUUUCGGUUUGGUAUGAGCUCGCGACCUAUCAGCUUGUUGGUGGGGUCGUGGCCUAGCAAGGCGUCGACGGGUAGCCGGCAUGCGAGGGUGUACGGCCACAUUGGGCCUGAGAGGCGGCCAACAGUCGGAAGGGAGGCAGAAGUGGCGAAUAUCGGACGAAGGGAGGAAGCCUGAGGCAGCGAGGCCGCGUGGGGGAUGAAGGCUUUCGGGUUGUAAACUCAUUUCGCUAGGGAAGAAGCGUUUUUGUGACGGUACCUGGAGAAGAAGCACCGGCUAACUACGUG
This 468-nucleotide ribosomal RNA is filed under the name uncultured bacterium. RNAcentral describes it as "partial 16S ribosomal RNA". It matches the Rfam family "Bacterial small subunit ribosomal RNA", at positions 28 to 507 of the family's 1533-position model. The record is from RNAcentral.